AGGCGUUGGUGGCGUUGGUUGGAGCCACACAGGGCCACAGCGAGCGGACGCCGGACAAGCGCAUCAUCAACAGGCGUCGUUGGAACCCCACAAGCGAUGCACCAGCAUUUUCUGCUUCUGUUCAACGUGUGGUGCGUUCGCGCCUCUCAAAUUUACGUGGACGGCGUACAUAAAGCGGACAAAACAACGUGAUCAGUAUUCAAAGUGACCUACAAUUAUGUACCUAAUCAACGGCAGCAACGUGAUCAGUAUUCAAAGUGACCUACAAUUAUGUACCUAAUCAACGGCAGCAACGUGAUCAGUAUUCAAAGUGACCUACAAUUAUGUACCUAAUCAACGGCAGCAACGUGAUCAGUAUUCAAAGUGACCUACAAUUAUGUACCUAAUCAACGGCAGG
Long non-coding RNA from Rhipicephalus sanguineus (brown dog tick), 397 nucleotides. RefSeq lists it as uncharacterized. Lineage: Eukaryota; Metazoa; Arthropoda; Arachnida; Ixodida; Ixodidae. The record is from RefSeq and is a predicted model, not a curated record. The transcript is spliced from 5 exons.